RNAcentral lists this transfer RNA (74 nucleotides) under Lachnospiraceae bacterium. RNAcentral's name for it is "tRNA-His". It matches the Rfam family "tRNA". From Rfam's summary of the family: Transfer RNA (tRNA) molecules are approximately 80 nucleotides in length. Their secondary structure includes four short double-helical elements and three loops (D, anti-codon, and T loops). Lineage: Bacteria; Bacillati; Bacillota; Clostridia; Lachnospirales; Lachnospiraceae. The record is from RNAcentral. RNAcentral also lists the same sequence under 1 other name.
UGGUCAUUAGUGUAACGACAGCACGGCAGUUUGUGGCACUGCAGGCAUGGGUUUGACUCCCGUAUCUCCACCCA